This 1756-nucleotide long non-coding RNA is filed under the name Homo sapiens (human). Its description in RNAcentral is "HSALNT0336716". The record is from RNAcentral. Lineage: Eukaryota; Metazoa; Chordata; Mammalia; Primates; Hominidae.
AAGCCCAGCGCACGGUACCCACUGGAUAUGCCCGAGGCCUCCAGAGGAAAGGAAAGGAGGAAAAGGGACAGAAGAAAUGUUCACAGGAACUGCAUAUGGGCCUGCUACUUGUGUCAAAAUGUGACUGAACUCUCUUCCAGCAGGUGUGGGGAAAAGAGUGACUUCACCUUAAAUGUUAACCUGCCAUGUAACUUCUGACUAAUCCCAGGUCCAGAAAUGCCUCCAAAUGUCUCGUUGCUGUAUUACUCUUUAUGUGGAAACACCUGUUCACUCUUACUCUGAGGGAGGUCUGAAUGCCAUAUUGUGAGCGGCCCUGCUGAAAGACCCAUGUGGCAAGGAUCUGAGAUCAUUGGCCAACAGGCUGCAAAGAGUCCUACCAACAGCCAGGCUGGUGUUCUUGGAAGUGGAUCUUCUCCUACUCUCCUACUUGAGAUGACUGCAGCCCCAGCUAACACUUCGAUUGCAGCCUUGUUAAGAUAUCACGGGCCAGACACACCCAGCUAAGUUAUGCCUGAGUUACUAGCCCACAGAAAUGAUAAGAUAAUAAAUAUUUGCUGUUUUAAGCUGCUAAGUUUUGGGUUAAUUUGUUAUACAACAAUGGAUAACUAAUACAAGUGCAGUCAUUGAUCUCAUUGAACACACCCGUAAUUCUUUGGAAAAAUGUCUACUUUCUCACCAAACUAAAAUCCAUUAAUUCCAGUAGUUAGGUGUUUGGCAAUGCCUUUAAAACGAUGCAUAGAAGUACAUGGCCAGGUCUUUAAAAUUGCGUUGCUAGACUGAAGAAGAGCUGUCUGACUUACUGGGCUUCCCACGUUCCUGCCUUCAGUUCCUGGGUUAGUGUCACAGGUUGCGGAUUUUCCACUCCAUCUCCCAGUCAUGUCUCUGGCACUUCCCCCGCUUGGCUCCUAGUAAUCAACUUUGGCUGACCUCUAACUCUCCACCUCCUGGACCACAAAAUAAACCCAAUGCUCUGAUCAUAGCUCCUCUGCAACUAUGUUUACUCCUUGGUUUGGGAUCUGCCCAGACUCUCAUUACGCCUGCCAUAGCAUUAUCCCUCUGUCCUGUACCUACGGAUGAAGCAAACCAUUGAUUUCUCCAACUAUGCUAAGUAAGAGCAAGUCAUAUUGUAAGUAAUUUAAUAAUAUAGAAUUUCUAGAGUUAUAAAAUAAUGAAGCAAUUUUAUAAAAACUAUCUUUUUAACAGGUUAAAAAAUAAAGCAAUGUCAUCAUUUCCAUUAAAUUUUGAACAAUAGAAGGCAAGCACUACUCAUUUCUAAAAAGAAAGCUUGCGCUUUUGAGGAUGAAAAGGUUUGAGUUAAUUGUAAACCAUGUAAUCAUAUGGUUAUUUUUUAGCUUUAAACUAAUAAAAUAAUGGUGCCUUCUUAUCACGGUAGGCAGUGCGUCAGUCUCAUAAACUAAUACAACAUUUUGCUCUACAAUACAUUUGAGGUGUUUUCUACAUCAAGAAUUUGCCUCACACUGACAAAAUAAUUGUGCAACAUAUAUUCGUUGAAAAGCUAUAAAAGACAGGACACUGGGCUGGGCUUUAUGAGAGCACAACAAAAAUGAAAUUAGAAAAGUUGGGGAGAAAUAUUUUUUAAAACUUUCCCUCCAAUUCCCAUCUCUCCCGUGAAAUAUGUUGGAAAAAUAUUUUUCUUCCUUGCUUAUAUGGCACCCGAACUGUCAAUCUCUGAAUACCAAAAAUUAAAAAUUUCUGGAAAAAAAUCAUUUUAUAUAACCUACUUUUGUUCUUCAAA